UGAACGCUGGCGGCAGGCUUAACACAUGCAAGUCGAGCGGUAGCACAGGGGAGCUUGCUCCCUGGGUGACGAGCGGCGGACGGGUGAGUAAUGUCUGGGAAACUGCCUGAUGGAGGGGGAUAACUACUGGAAACGGUAGCUAAUACCGCAUAACGUCGCAAGACCAAAGAGGGGGACCUUCGGGCCUCUUGCCAUCAGAUGUGCCCAGAUGGGAUUAGCUAGUAGGUGGGGUAAUGGCUCACCUAGGCGACGAUCCCUAGCUGGUCUGAGAGGAUGACCAGCCACACUGGAACUGAGACACGGUCCAGACUCCUACGGGAGGCAGCAGUGGGGAAUAUUGCACAAUGGGCGCAAGCCUGAUGCAGCCAUGCCGCGUGUGUGAAGAAGGCCUUCGGGUUGUAAAGCACUUUCAGCGAGGAGGAAGGUGGUGAGCUUAAUACGUUCAUCAAUUGACGUUACUCGCAGAAGAAGCACCGGCUAACUCCGUGCCAGCAGCCGCGGUAAUACGGAGGGUGCAAGCGUUAAUCGGAAUUACUGGGCGUAACGCGCACGCAGGCGGUUUGUUAAGUCAGAUGUGAAAUCCCCGGGCUCAACCUGGGAACUGCGUUUGAAACUGGCAAGCUAGAGUCUCGUAUAGGGGGGUAAAAUUCCAGGAGUAGCGGUGAAAUGCGUAGAGAUCUGGAGGAAUACCGGUGGCGAAGGCGGCCCCCUGGACGAAGACUGACGGUCAGGAGCGGAAGGGUGGGGAGCAAACAGGAUUAGAUACCCUGGUAGUCCACGCAGAAAACGAUGUCGAUUUGGAGGUUGUGC
This 810-nucleotide ribosomal RNA is filed under the name Serratia marcescens. RNAcentral's name for it is "bacterial SSU rRNA". It matches the Rfam family "Bacterial small subunit ribosomal RNA", at positions 30 to 829 of the family's 1533-position model. The record is from RNAcentral. Lineage: Bacteria; Pseudomonadati; Pseudomonadota; Gammaproteobacteria; Enterobacterales; Yersiniaceae.